CCUACGGGUGGCUGCAGUGAGGAAUAUUGGUCAAUGGGCGUAAGCCUGAACCAGCCAAGUCGCGUGAGGGAUGAAGGUUCUAUGGAUCGUAAACCUCUUUUAUAAGGGAGUAAAGUGCGGGACGUGUCCCGUUUUGUAUGUACCUUAUGAAUAAGGAUCGGCGAACUCCGUGCCGGCAGCCGCGGUAAUACGGGGGGUGCGAGCGUUAAUCGGAAUUACUGGGCGUAAAGCGCUAGUAGGCGGUAUGUAAAGUAAAGGGUGAAAUCCCCGCGCUAAACGGGGGAACUGCCUUUGAAACUGGCAAACUGGAGUGUGUGAGAGGAUAGGGGAAGUCCAGGUGUAGGAGUGCAAUCCGUAGAUAUCUGGAGGAACACCAGUGGCGAAGGCGACUAUCUGGCACAUAACUGACGCUGAGGAGCGAAAGCGUGGGUAGCAAACAGGAUUAGAUACCCUUGUAGUC
This 460-nucleotide ribosomal RNA is filed under the name uncultured bacterium. Its description in RNAcentral is "partial 16S ribosomal RNA". It matches the Rfam family "Bacterial small subunit ribosomal RNA", at positions 338 to 795 of the family's 1533-position model. The record is from RNAcentral.